GAUAAACGCUGGCGGCGCACAUAAGACAUGCAAGUCGAACGGAAGUCGUUACGAAACGGAGUGAAGAUUUAUCUGAAUGAAGUUUUGUAACAAUGGCUUUAGUGGCGGACUGGUGAGUAACACGUAAGCAACCUGCCUAUUAGAGGGGAAUAACAAUGAGAAAUCAUUGCUAAUACCCGCAUAAGCUUGUAGUAUCGCAUGGUACAGCAAGAAAAGAAGUAAUCCGCUAAUAGAUGGGCUUGCGGCUCGAUUAGCUAGUUGGUGAGGUAACGGCUCACCAAGGCGACGAUCAGUAGCCGACCUGAGAGGGUGACCGGCCACAUUGGGACUGAGACACGGCCCAA
This 344-nucleotide ribosomal RNA is filed under the name uncultured bacterium. RNAcentral describes it as "bacterial SSU rRNA". It matches the Rfam family "Bacterial small subunit ribosomal RNA", at positions 28 to 334 of the family's 1533-position model. The record is from RNAcentral.